Molecule: long non-coding RNA, 526 nt
Organism: Melanotaenia boesemani (Boeseman's rainbowfish)
Lineage: Eukaryota; Metazoa; Chordata; Actinopteri; Atheriniformes; Melanotaeniidae
Exons: 3
Source: RefSeq, a predicted model, not a curated record
UACUCUAAUUACGUCGCCACCUUACGCUGUACCCAUAGCAACAAAUCAGUUCGCGCGGUAACUUUGAUAGUCUGCCGCUAACCGUUACUCAUUUUAGAGAGAAGAAAGUACUCAUUACGACUUGGAUGGAAAAUACAGUUACAUGUGCAUUUUUUUGCAAAAUAAGUCACAAGGGUGUCUUACAUUGAUUGUAAACAAGUAAGGUUGCCUACCUGUUAUAUCUAGAAAAUUAACUGCUAUCCUCUGCUAAGUCAUCAUGAGAGGAGGGUGACAAUCACGAGGAAGGCGAAGAAGGACAAUGGUUCUUCAUCCUGUUUAUCUUCUUGCUUGGGAACAUCCAGACGGUCUAUGAAGCUCUGCAGCUCCUUUCUGAAGGCUUUCAUUUGGGCGUUGAUACGAUACAGCAGCUCAUGCUCUCUAAUCCUGUGGAACAGAGCCUAGCAAAAAGCUCCCCAUUGGUGACAUACACCCGGGCCUCUGCGAUGAUAGUGCUGGUGUCAGCGAUGAGCCUGUCGAUGGUCCGGCC